This is a long non-coding RNA of Mercenaria mercenaria, 956 nucleotides long. RefSeq lists it as uncharacterized. The transcript has 2 exons. Lineage: Eukaryota; Metazoa; Mollusca; Bivalvia; Venerida; Veneridae. The record is from RefSeq and is a predicted model, not a curated record.
CGUCAUUAUCACAUGGUAGACACGUGAAUGAUCGGAUUGCAGCAGAACAAUAUGUCUGUUAGAGUGUUUUCAUACUAUAAAAGCGAUGUAGUACACAUGAUACAUUCAUUUCAAAAUUUAACUACAGGAAAAAAUAUCUUAACUAAAAACAACUUGGAUUAAUAGGGAAAAAAACAUGAAGAUGUUUACAUUUACAACAUUUGGACUACUUCUGUUUGUGAUAUCGGGUGUAUUGACCUAUCCAUCCAUCCAGAUUCGAGAAAGUUACCACAAACAAACGAAAGCUUUACGUGUCGGCUGGUGCCAAUUUAGCGAGGAGGAACAUACUAACUGUUACGUGUGUGCAAGACUUUAUACAAGUUACUCACUUUAUAAAGAUUGUUGUGAACGAAGACCGACAUCCAUGGUAGAAAUAUGCCAAGCUCAACUUCCGAGUUGGAACAAUUUAUAAUGAUCUCCGGUAGAGUGCUGAAUAUUCCGGCAAUCUCUGUUCCUUUAAAGAAAAGAAAAAACAGAAUGAUGAUAGCAAAAGAAUAGUGAACAAAAUGUACCAAUACUGCGUGAUUUUUGAUUCUCAGUACGUUAGUUACACCUUUAAGUGUUCAUUGCUUUAUUCAAGCAGAGUUAAUUAAAUACUGUGUUCACCGAGAAUUAAAGGAUCAAGCUUUGGAAUUAUUAAUAUUGUUAAAGAGAAAUAUUACAUAAAACGCUGAGGGAAAAAUGAAAUAAAACAAAACUAACAUAAAACAUCCACGUGUUCUAUGGUACUCUAGGUUACAUAUUUAUGUGUUCCUGUCUUCAAGACAUAUAAGUUUUGUAUUAAAAGAAUUUAUCAAUAUUUAUUGUUUUAAGUGCCAUAUAUCCGAUCUUUUUAACAUAUUGUGACACGCUAACGUUAGCAUAAACCAUAUGUAUGAAUAAUCAUGUUUAUUUUCAAUAAAACACGGCAACAAUUA